AGCAGUAGCCGCGGUAAUACAGAGGGUGCGAGCGUUAAUCGGAUUUACUGGGCGUAAAGCGUGCGUAGGCGGCUUUUUAAGUCGGAUGUGAAAUCCCUGAGCUUAACUUAGGAAUUGCAUUCGAUACUGGGAAGCUAGAGUAUGGGAGAGGAUGGUAGAAUUCCAGGUGUAGCGGUGAAAUGCGUAGAGAUCUGGAGGAAUACCGAUGGCGAAGGCAGCCAUCUGGCCUAAUACUGACGCUGUGGUACGAAAGCAUGGGGAGCAAACAGGAUUAGAUACCCCCGUAGUCCCUGUCUCUUAUAC
RNAcentral lists this ribosomal RNA (303 nucleotides) under uncultured bacterium. Its description in RNAcentral is "partial 16S ribosomal RNA". It matches the Rfam family "Bacterial small subunit ribosomal RNA", at positions 507 to 807 of the family's 1533-position model. The record is from RNAcentral.